This 665-nucleotide long non-coding RNA is filed under the name Monodelphis domestica (gray short-tailed opossum). Its description in RNAcentral is "lncRNA (ENSMODG00000040930.1)". Lineage: Eukaryota; Metazoa; Chordata; Mammalia; Didelphimorphia; Didelphidae. The record is from RNAcentral.
AGACUUGCUGACGUCAUAGUGCUUCCUCAGUUUGAGAUAAGAAGGGAAGAUCUGCCCAGAAGGAGAGAGUUGAGGAUAGUCGGGAAAGAAGUUAGCAGAGAAACACCUUUGUGUGACGGCGAUAUUCCUGAGGGGACCAACGGCAUCAAGUCUACAGAGCAGAGUUCCAAGGAUAGAAGUACCUCCAUUCCUGAUUUUCCCAACUGUGUGCUCUACCUGGAUUCCUGUGAUCGUGUCAUUGAAAAAAAGAAUUUAAGGAGAGCAGUUUGAACUGUAAGAUUCCUGUUCGUUCUUCUGAUGACUACUGACUGAAUUUUAAAGGUAUUAUUGAAGGUUUUGGAGCAGCUCACCUAACUCUCUUCUUGAAGAAAAUAUUUAUGAUAUAGAAGCAUUGGCUGUCUAAGUUGCUUGUAAGUCUUUGGUCACUUUCAUAUCUUCAUGUAGAGCAUUUUUUUUUACUACAUAUUUUUGUCCAUCCUCUCCUAGGCACCUUUCAAUUAAUGAGUAUCAUUGUAGAUAUUUUCUUGGUUUGGAAAAUCUAUAACAGAUGUUGCCCAGUAGCUCUAAUUAUCUUUACAGCUUUCUUAGGUCAUUUUGAUUAUAAAGCUGGAUGAUGAGUAUGAGCACUGUGAGACUAAUAAGCCCAGAGUUUAUUUAAUAAAGAG